Molecule: ribosomal RNA, 447 nt
Filed under: Lodderomyces parapsilosis
Lineage: Eukaryota; Fungi; Ascomycota; Pichiomycetes; Serinales; Debaryomycetaceae
Description: eukaryotic LSU rRNA
Rfam family: Eukaryotic large subunit ribosomal RNA
Source: RNAcentral
AACAGAACGUCACAGAGGGUGAGAAUCCCGUGCGAUGAGAUGUCCCAGACCUAUGUAAAGUUCCUUCGAAGAGUCGAGUUGUUUGGGAAUGCAGCUCUAAGUGGGUGGUAAAUUCCAUCUAAAGCUAAAUAUUGGCGAGAGACCGAUAGCGAACAAGUACAGUGAUGGAAAGAUGAAAAGAACUUUGAAAAGAGAGUGAAAAAGUACGUGAAAUUGUUGAAAGGGAAGGGCUUGAGAUCAGACUUGGUAUUUUGUAUGUUACUCUCUCGGGGGUGGCCUCUACAGUUUACCGGGCCAGCAUCAGUUUGAGCGGUAGGAUAAGUGCAAAGAAAUGUGGCACUGCUUCGGUAGUGUGUUAUAGUCUUUGUCGAUACUGCCAGCUUAGACUGAGGACUGCGGCUUCGGCCUAGGAUGUUGGCAUAAUGAUCUUAAGUCGCCCGUCUUGAA